RNAcentral lists this ribosomal RNA (408 nucleotides) under Triticum aestivum (bread wheat). Its description in RNAcentral is "partial small subunit ribosomal RNA". Lineage: Eukaryota; Viridiplantae; Streptophyta; Magnoliopsida; Poales; Poaceae. The record is from RNAcentral.
AUGUUUCUGAUAGUUCUAACACUUAGCUGGAGCCCGAAUCUUAUUAGUUUCAGAUUAUGUUUCUGCACGAAUAAUUCGUUUCAGAUGUUUGGAGAGAAAAUUGGCCCUGGUAGUUGUUUCCGUAUCUCAAGUUUAUUCCCUUUAUUCCCCAAUCUGCAAGGCUGCAAUUGUCUACUUCUUUUUUCAACCUUACAUUUGGUAAAUUUGCAACUAUAUAUAGCGUCUGUAAACCGUUGCAACUAUAGGUUUUGUGCAGCACCUUUUGAUUUUCAUCAUUUGGUAAGUAGUUUAUUCGGCUUGCUAAAUCUUGUGAAAUAUUCAAAAUCGGUUGUUGGACAACCGUGCAACUUGUUUCAAAUUAUCAAAUUAGUUCGGAGCGUGAUUUUUAUGUUUGCAAUGGGAUUUUGA